Molecule: long non-coding RNA, 1133 nt
Organism: Sphaeramia orbicularis (orbiculate cardinalfish)
Lineage: Eukaryota; Metazoa; Chordata; Actinopteri; Kurtiformes; Apogonidae
Exons: 2
Source: RefSeq, a predicted model, not a curated record
AUUUAGUCUGAGAAUGAAGAUGAAAACACAGGUUCAGUCAGUCAGGGCUCCUCCCUCAUCAAGGCUCAACUUCAUGUUCACUGUCCCACUCAGGGAAAUGUGUUCCACAACAAAUGUUCACAAGUUUGACAAAGUACAAAAAAUACAACAGUACCAACAGUAAAUGACUGAUCUAGAACCUGGAAAUCUAGACCUAAAUGUGUCUCUGCUCCGUUUGACUCAGUUUCACUUUCUCUUUGACUGGUGUUGUUGUAAACUCACAUUCAGUGUGUUGAAUGUCAGCAGGUCGAAGCAGCCGUGUCUGAUUUUCCUCUUUUCUCUCCUGUAGUUGGACUUUUUUUGGUCUGAAGGUCAAUCUGAUGGUUUGUUUGUCCGUCUGUGUGUCUGACACUCGUCUGGAACAAACUCUGUUUCCUUGUUCUUGUCAGGAUUCAUGUGUGACCCAUUGAGCCCAGGUGCAGAAUUCUCCGCCAACGUGAGGAAGUCGAUUCCGCUGGACGAGGCGGAUAUUCCACUGGUGACAUGAAGGCUGCUGUCCAUGGUGCUGAAAGCUGGAGCGCCUUUUGGGUGAUUUGUCCCCAAGAAUAUGACACAGUGAAGACAUUGUCCAUGUAUCUGCUCACCAUGUUCAGAUCCUCAUACACCUGUGAAGCUUCAUUCUCCAACAUGAACUCUAUAAAAACACAUGAAGGAACCGACUGUUGAAGCGGUCUGUGGAGGACUGACUGCACAUAGGCCACUGGUGUCACUAAAGUGGUUUACUCCUCACCAGUUGAAGCAGGUUAUGUCUGAGAUAGUGUCUCAUGUGUAAAAGUACCGUCCAUAUGACCACUACUGACCAAUCAGUUCAGUGAGAAGAUCCUGUGGACACAUGCACGAGGCCAGUGUAAAAUGAUUAAACCUUAGCCCUUAUUCCACAAACUUUUUAAAUUUGUCUCACUUAGUUCUCAAUAAUUUUUCUGUGAAGAUGAUGAAGACGAAGGAGAAGAUUCGAACCAGGGCCAUGAGUGGAUUUUAACCCUUAAAGACUUAAAUAUUCACUGGUGACCAAAUACAUCUCCUGAUUUAAUAAGUUUAUUUUCUUUUCAUCCACUAAUCCUAUCAAUACAUGUAAAUAAAUGAGGUAAAAUACA